Ictalurus punctatus (channel catfish) is the source of this 540-nucleotide long non-coding RNA. RefSeq lists it as uncharacterized. The record is from RefSeq and is a predicted model, not a curated record. NCBI's taxonomy places the organism in Eukaryota, Metazoa, Chordata, Actinopteri, Siluriformes, Ictaluridae. The transcript is spliced from 3 exons.
GACAAUCCAAUGCUAUUUUCAAGUGGCGGUGAAUAACAGAGACCAGGGACACAGGAUUUUUAUACUAGAUCACUACACAGUGAGUGUUAUACUUCAUGGAGAAUGAGAUGAAGUACUGAGAAACAGUCUCUCAAAGGUGGACUUUGAUGACUACGAAGGAAUGAUAAGUUUCCAGAAUGUCAACGGGAAUCAUUGGAUACUUUUGUAUCUCCAUGCAGCAUCCAGCCAGGUGUUUAUGGUAGACCCAGCAGGACAUGAUGAAGAAGCAAAAUCCAUGUAUGCAGCCACUAUAUUUCAGUAAUAUUUUUAGCUUGUUAUAUACUGUACUUACAAAGAUGGUAAGCUUAGCCCCUAGUGUGAAGAGGCCCACUUCUUUUUGAUGUGUUUUCUUGUCACGGGGUAUUGAAGGGUGAAUGAUAUGCUGUGUCCUUUUCUAUCACCGGAUCUUUAGUAAAUUAAACAAAAUUUUGAUUUUGGACCAAACUGUCAGGGCUCUCUAGUAUCAUCUUGAAAAUGUAAAAAUUUAGAAAUAUAUUUUGA